Stegodyphus dumicola is the source of this 371-nucleotide long non-coding RNA. Lineage: Eukaryota; Metazoa; Arthropoda; Arachnida; Araneae; Eresidae. The record is from RefSeq and is a predicted model, not a curated record.
GUCCAUUUAGCCAGAUAUAACUCUUUUGAAAAGAACAACAACUAAGUAUUUCCGAGCUUUUUGGGUGAGGAAGAAUACCCUAAGAAUGCAGAGAAAAGUAACUUCUCAACCAGUAAAAAACAUAAGUCUGGAUGGUGUAAAUCACUUACCAAGACUCAUGAAUACCAAAAAUGCAUCUACACGUAGAAUGCGAGGGUGCACAUCAAGAAGAAGAAUAUUCUGUAUCAAAUGUAAAAUGUAUUUAUGUGUAUUAAAAAGAAUUACUUUGAAAAGUUUCAUACAAAAUAAUGUGUUGAUAAAGAUGAAAUAUUAGUUAAAGUUACUUAAAAUUAAUAAAACAAUCAUACAUUAGGAUGUUAUUGUGAAAUUAA